Molecule: ribosomal RNA, 256 nt
Filed under: uncultured Gemmatimonas sp.
Lineage: Bacteria; Pseudomonadati; Gemmatimonadota; Gemmatimonadia; Gemmatimonadales; Gemmatimonadaceae
Description: partial 16S ribosomal RNA
Rfam family: Bacterial small subunit ribosomal RNA
Source: RNAcentral
UACGGGGGGGGCAAGCGUUGUUCGGAAUCAUUGGGCGUAAAGGGCGCGUAGGUGGCCCGGUCAGUCCGUGGUGAAAGCGCGGGGCUCAACCCUGCGUCGGCCAUGGAUACUGCCGCGGCUCGAGCACUGUAGAGGCAGGCGGAAUUCCGGGUGUAGCGGUGGAAUGCGUAGAGAUCCGGAAGAACACCGGUGGCGAAGGCGGCCUGCUGGGCAGUAUGGCUGACACUGAGGCGCGACAGCGUGGGGAGCAAACAGG